Molecule: long non-coding RNA, 733 nt
Organism: Oncorhynchus gorbuscha (pink salmon)
Lineage: Eukaryota; Metazoa; Chordata; Actinopteri; Salmoniformes; Salmonidae
Exons: 3
Source: RefSeq, a predicted model, not a curated record
GAGGGGAGGUGGAUCUGCUGUGUGGACACACCUCUUCCUGCAGGGCGGGGCCAAGUGAGACAGGUAUGAUGCUACUGGAAGUCAGCAGAGGAACGGCCACGCCGUCUCCUCAGCACAGCAACGGGGCCGCUGUCGCCAACGGCAACGACAGAUCCUGCUGACCCUGCAUCUAACUGUGAGGAGGACUCAGUGUCCCACCAGUCAUGUAUGCUAAGCCCAGCCAGCCUGACCCACACACCUAGCCCAGGGGUCAAUCACAUCACUGACAAGACACAGGGACUAUUUGGCCAUCUCCAGAAAGGAGAGCAGGCUACGAAUGUGAAGGAACUCAUCCAAAAUAUCACAGGCAAUCCAGAACAAGGAUACAGAGGACUUUCCACCAAAAAUGUUUUAUCUGAGUCUAUGUCUAUCCCUUCAACCAAUGAGCAGUGACUGGGGAAAGCCACGAGUCACUUUGUUCUCGAACACUGAUACCUGGAAAGAAAUAUCACGGGAUGGACAGAGAGACAGAAAGACUAAAACUCUCUUCCCAGCUUGGUAGUGGACUCUAACCACUGCUGUUAGUCGUAUGAACCUGAGGGCUUCAAAUGUAGCAGAUACUUUGCCCCCAACCAAUGGAAUAUGAUACCACAACCUGACAAGGAGACUAGACGCUUAGCAAUUAUUUAAUUUAUAUCAAAAUAAUCAGUCUUCUGAGAGAAAGAAAAAUAAAUAAAAACAUUCUUUGACAGUG